This is a long non-coding RNA of Hippocampus zosterae (dwarf seahorse), 2160 nucleotides long. RefSeq lists it as uncharacterized. NCBI's taxonomy places the organism in Eukaryota, Metazoa, Chordata, Actinopteri, Syngnathiformes, Syngnathidae. The transcript has 2 exons. The record is from RefSeq and is a predicted model, not a curated record.
UCCUGCCAUCGCACCAAAUGGGGGGUAGUGGUGGUCUGGUCUCACCUCACCGCUCCUGGCUUCCUCCGGCCACACCGGGUCAGAUGACAUGUUACUUUCUUUGUUUCGGGAUUUGCAUGGGAGGCGUACCUCCCCGCCUCUCAUUAUCAUAUUGUCUCUAUAUAAUCUCAUGAAUGUGUUUCUUCGGGGCUUCCUGAUGAAAUCUGAGACUCACAGGAGCCCGAAUCGAUUCGUGUUGCGUUGCGAUAAACUGAAGAAAAGACUACGUGGUGUUGGGUCUUCUUCCACCUUAUAGAGAGAUAAAAGAAUCUGUAACCAAGGAAGGGCCAAGAGCAAAUUGACAGCUCCCAUUCCUCAACAAAUGGCGUCACGAACAGGGUCUCUCUGGAAAAAGACCGACACCGGUUUCAGGACCUUCAGACUCAGGCAGUAACCAAGGAGCGCUCCACUAUAACCAGGUAAGACACACCUGUUCCUGUUAUUACGGGCAAAGUGUCAAGAUUCGGCUUAUGUCCAAUAAGGACCGAUCAAAUCAAACUGCUCUGAACCUGAAUGUGUUGAACCAAGUAUAGUGAUUGGGUCUUGUAGGUGGCAAAUAACAAAUUGAUAAUGAGUUUGUAGGCAAUUAAAAAAAAUUAGUGGUUAAUUGCUAAGGCAGGUCCAGGUAAUUUUUAUUAUUCUGGAUGCUGAUAAAUUGUAGGACUGACGAAUGGAGAUCGCGGUCUGAGUAGACAGCUGAGCAGAGACCAUACUGAGUUUGUUUAGGCAAUUAAAAAAUUAGUGGUUAAUUGCUGAGGCAGGUCCAGGUAAUUUUUAUUAUUCUGGAUGCUGAUAAAUUGUAGGACUGACGAAUGGAGAUCGCGGUCUGAGUUCGAAGGCAUUUAAAAAAUUAGUGGUUAAUUGCUGAGGCAGGUCCAGGUAAUUUUUAUUAUUCUGGAUGCUGAUAAAUUGUAGGACUGACGAAUGGAGAUUGCGGUCUGAGUUCGAAGGCAUUUAAAAAAUUAGUGGUUAAUUGCUGAGGCAGGUCCAGGUAAUUUUUAUUAUUCUGGAUGCUGAUAAAUUGUAGGACUGACGAAUGGAGAUCGCGGUCUGAGUUCGAAGGCAUUUAAAAAAUUAGUGGUUAAUUGCUGAGGCAGGUCCAGGUAAUUUUUAUUAUUCUGGAUGCUGAUAAAUUGUAGGACUGACGAAUGGAGAUCGCGGUCUGAGUAAACAGCUGUAUAUUUAGGGCAAGUUAGGGACAGCUCCAUUGUUACAAUUGGAGAAUUACGUGACGUCACACGGUCCAUAAGGGAGUAUAUUGGACGGUGAGUAUGAUAAAAACAUGGUGAACUGUAAGGUGGACGGAACGCCUGAAGGCAAGAAAACGGUUGAAAUACCGUCUGGUGGUAAGUAGGAAAGAAAGGAAGGCGAAUGCAUUGCGCAGAGAGAGAAAAGGGCGAAUGCACUGCGCAGAGGGGAAGUAAAGCGAGAAAAUAAGGUCUUAAGAAUAAAUUGUAAGAAUAAGACAAUAGUUUGAAAUAUAAAAAGAAAAAACUAAGUGUAUUCAAUUCGAGCUAUAAUAAUAAUAUAAUAAUAAUAAUAAUACAUUUUAUUUGUGGGGUCUUUCUAUGAACUCAAGGACACCUUACAACAAGCAGUUAAAAUCACGAAUACAAUGUUAAGAUCAACAUCAAAUAAAAUAAGAAAAAAAUACAACAACAGAAAGAAUAAUGGCUCUAUGGUCUGAGUGAAUAGGCUUGUCCAAACAGAUGUGUUUUGAGGCGGAAUUUAAAAUGUGUUAAUGAGUCUGUAUUACGAAGGUCAGCGGGGAGUGUGUUCCAGAGCUGGGGAGCAGAUCGACUGAAGGCUCUGUUUCCCAUGGUGACAAGACGAGCAGGGGAGGCAGAGAAAAGAAGAGAGGAGUAGGAACGAAAAGAGCGGACAAGUGUAGGAAUGUGGAUGAGGUCAGAUAGGUAUGGAGGGGCUAGGUUAUGGAUGGCUUUGAAUGUGAGGAGUGAGAAAAGAGCGGAGCCGGUGGAUGUUUCUAAGAUGAUAAUAUGAUGUGGUUGAUAUGCGAGGGGAAAAGAGAGGGUCAAGUUGACAAGUAGAGGUUCUUCUAUAUAUUGCAUUUCAUGGGCAGUUUGACCACUGCCUUCGACAUUGGAAAAAGAAAAAAAAGAA